GGUUCCCUGACCCUCAUAGGCUGUGCCGUCUUGAGCAGAAGGCCAGGCUGUGUGGGCACAGAGGAGCCUCGUCCCAGCCAAGCCUGGGUGCCGAGAAGCACACAGUGGCUUUUGGGACAUCGAGCCGCACCUGUGGAGGGGGUUUUAGGGGCUGCUUCUCGCCAGGUUAAUUAAGCUCUGGCGUUUCCUCUGCUGGUUCUUGUAUCAAGGGUUUUUCCCUUCCUUUCACUCUCUGCCUCCUCCUUGUGCAGACCCUCUUGUUGCCAUCCUGCUUGCUUCAUCCUUUUGCUCCUGAUGGUCGGAAGACAAACGUUCUGUAUCUACCUCCCCAGUGCAGGUCACUUGGGGGGGCCUCCUUUCUGUCCAGCUCAGCUGACUGAAGAACGUGACCUGAUCCUUGUAACCUCCCCACAGACCCCUCCCCUCCCUCUCUCUCAGUUGGGCUCACCCCACCUCGCUUUUGGCUGUCCUUGCUUCAGACCCUUCAUCAGAAAGGGCCAGCUCAUCGUGUGCGUUACACUUGGCCAUGGGCGGAUGGGCGGAGGCACAUGAAGGUGAAUAGAUGCGAUCCCUGUCUUCAGGAGACUCUAAUCUCCUGCUCACCCCUGCCUCCCUCCCCAGCCCUGCUGUCCUUGCCCCCUGAGACCUGGCACCUCUUCAAAGAAUGCUCCCCUGCACUCCCCAGCUCACCGAGGCUGUCCUUCUUUUAAACUGUCAUGACACUUGUGGGACCCCUGCCAUGGCCCUGGCUGUAAUCCACAUUGCUUUGGACUUUUUUUGAUGUCCCCUAUACCACCUGCCUUAUCUCCUCUAUCAGACUUUAAGCUCUUUUAAGGCAGGGCUGUGUGUUGCUCCUUGUUGUGUUCCGUGCAGUCCCUGCUCAGUGUCUUACACACAGUAGGUGCUCAGUAAGUGUUACCAGAUUGGAACCAUCAUGGACUCUUCUGCGGCUCCCAGCAUCCGUGCCUUUUGUGGCCGUGGUCCUCAAGUCUUGAGAUGACAGAAAAGAAUGGGGGAGAGGCAGAGAGUAUUUGCCCAGAAGAAUCCUAGUGGGUUUUCUUCAGGUAGGAGCAAGUCACAAAAGUGCUAAAAGCUGAAAUAUUACAGUAUUUUUCAGAUUCUCCUAUUAGCCUUACCCUUUUAUCAACCUACUUUCAUGAAGAGGCAGAAGGUAAGUUUUCCGAUGCUUUCCUGCCAGGACCCCAGUCUUCCUUCCUUGGUUUUGCGUGAUUAACCACAGUGUAAAUAAUUCAUAUAAUGCUUAGAAGAAGAAGUUCCGUAAAACUUAUGUUAUCAGAGGGAUUGGUUCCCCUAAGGAGGAUACUGGGAAUAACCAUUGGUUUAAAGAUAAGAAUCUCUGACGGAGUUCCCGUCGUGGUGCAGUGGUUAAUGAAUCCGACUGGGAACCAUGAGGUUGUGGGUUCAAUCCCUGGCCUUGCUCACUCAUGGCAACGCCGGAUCCUUGCCCCACUGAGCGAGGCCAGGGAUCGAGCCUGCAUCUUCACGGAAACUAGACAGGUUCAUUACUGCUGAGCCAUGAUGGGAACUCCUGUCUGUGCUUUUGAGUCUGAUUAGAACUGGAUUUCACAGGAGGGGCUGUAGCUGCCCACUUGCUGCCUUUGCCCUUGGAAGGACUGCCCUGUGUCGCUGAUCCCAGGGGAUCUGGCUGGACUUACUCCCAGUCCAUGCAGCUGGGAAAGACUGCCUCUCCCCUGUCCUCACCAGGGCACCAAAAGGCAGAGGUGAUCCUUCUCAGCAGGAGGAUCCGAGUUUGCCAGCUCCUUUCUCUUGGGUCCCCUUGAACAGAGGCUGUCAGGUCGCCCAGGGCCUCAGGCUGGCGGCUGGCACGGAAGCGCGAGCAGUCUGCCGUGAACAGGGCUACAUGAACCCGCACCCUCCAGCAGGCAGAGACACAUGACAGCUGUGCGGGGACUUGGCUGUAGAAGUCGGGAAGCCAAGCUUCCUGCUUGGAGCAGUGGCUCCUGUGAGGCAGGAUGGAAGGAGAGGAUGCAUGAGAACUUCAAUUCGUGAGGAGAGAACUCCCAGGGGGCUGAGAGUCCCGUGUGCCACAGAGGCUCGCUGGAACUAAAAAAGAUGGCUUUUGAAUUUAAAAACCAGUAGAAGAACUGAAAUUGGUGGUUUGGAAGGUCAAGUAGAAGAAAAGCAUCACAGCCCAAAAAGUGAUAAAAAGAAAUGGAGAUAAUGAGUUACAGUGUAAGACGCUGUCCAUGAGGGGAGUCCUCGGAGACCUUGUCCAGGGCCCUGGCAGGGGAGGCCUGGGCGUUCUGGAAGGACAGAAAGGAACAGACGGAGGUAAUAGUAGAACAGUGGAAGAAAAUGUCGCCGCAUUGAAGACAGAGUGGAUUUUUCAGACGCCGUGGUUCCACGCAUCCCACACUAAGACCAGCGCUUGGACCUAUUUUCUGAUAAAAUUCCUAAACUCCAAGAAGAAAGAGAAAAAUCUUAAACGUUUCGUAGGAAGAAAGAACAGGUUGGUUUCAAAGCAGAGAGAAUUAGGCUCUCCAUGGGCUUCCCAUAUGCAGCCCUGGAGGCUGGAGGCUGGUGGCCCCGUGUCUCCAGAACAUUGGAGGGAGGGGGCCACAGCCCUCCCUGCACCAGCCAAGGUGUCGCCGUCACCGCGAAGAAGGACAUUUCAAACAUGUGAGGCCGUAAAGCAGUCAUUAUCUGGUGAGUGUGCCUGAGGAAAAUGCCCAGUGAGGUUCUCUCACCCAAAGACAGAGCAGAGACUCGGGGGUGGGGACGCUGAGAGGGCAGAAGACCCCCUAGUGCAUGCAGUUUAAUCUCGACUGACAUUGCUGCUGUGAGUUGGAAUUUUUAUUGUGUGUUUUUAAGCAUAUUGAUUGAUGGAUUGAUUUUGUCGUUUUUGUCGAUUUAGGGCCCCACGCAUGGCACGUGGAGGUUCCCAGGCUAGGGGUCCAAUCAGAGCCAUAGCUGCUGGCCGCAUACACCACAGCUCAUGGCAACCCUGGAGCUUAACCCACGGAGCGAGGCCAGGGAUCAAACCCGCAACCUCAUGGUUCCUAGUUGGAUUGGUUUCCGUUGCACAAUGGGAACUCCAAGCAUUUUUAAAAUCGAGGAAAACUGUAUAGGAAAACAUAAUAAGCUGAAAAUAAAAAUUGUAAACCGUCUCUGUGAAACCUAAGGCUUUGGGAGAAAGGAUGGGUGAGUGGGGAAAUAAGUGUUUCACUUUUAACAGACUUAAAUAAACAGAUAAAUAAAACAUAAAGGCAUAGUUUUUAAUGUGUGUUACAAAAAGAGAAAUAAAGGUUCAGUUUUGACCUUUGGGGAUCAGAGAGUAUUAGUUAGGACUAGAUUUUGUUGCAUGUAGUGGAUAAUCCCUGACUAACAGUGGCUUAAACACAUAAAGGUUUAUACCAUUUCAUGAAAAAGUAGAGAGGUUGGUACAGUGGAAUCAGAGUCAUCACAGAGCCAGGUUCCUUAUAUCUUGCUGCUCUUCCAGCCUUGCCAGAUUGGCUUCUGACUCAAAAUGGCUGCUUGGACGCCAGUCAUCACAUCUGCACUCCAGAAGCCAGAAGGAGAAAAGGGAGAAGGAUGUGCCCCCUCCCUUUCAGACACGUCCUCAGAGGGCUAACACAGCACUGAAGUUCACACCUCCCGGGGCAGGCCUUUGCCGCACCAGAUGCAGGGGAGGCGGGGUGUGCUUAACUAAACGUAGGAGUUCUCUUG
RNAcentral lists this long non-coding RNA (3708 nucleotides) under Sus scrofa (pig). RNAcentral's name for it is "lncRNA (ENSSSCG00040031692.1)". The record is from RNAcentral. Lineage: Eukaryota; Metazoa; Chordata; Mammalia; Artiodactyla; Suidae.